RNAcentral lists this ribosomal RNA (301 nucleotides) under uncultured bacterium. RNAcentral's name for it is "partial 16S ribosomal RNA". It matches the Rfam family "Bacterial small subunit ribosomal RNA", at positions 509 to 807 of the family's 1533-position model. The record is from RNAcentral.
CAGCAGCCGCGGGAAUACGUAGGUGGCAAGCGUUAUCCGGAAUUAUUGGGCGUAAAGCGCGCGUAGGCGGUUUUUUAAGUCUGAUGUGAAAGCCCACGGCUCAACCGUGGAGGGUCAUUGGAAACUGGAAAACUUGAGUGCAGAAGAGGAAAGUGGAAUUCCAUGUGUAGCGGUGAAAUGCGUAGAGAUGUGGAGGAACACCAGUGGCGAAGGCGACUCUCUGGUCUGUAACUGACGCUGAGGAGCGAAAGCGUGGGGAGCGAACAGGAUUAGAUACCCCAGUAGUCCCUGUCUCUUAUAC